GUUUUGUUUUGCACAGCUGAUGCAUUCCAGGCAUUGCUGGGAUGCAUUCCGCUUCUCCUCUUUCCCUCCAGCCCCUGGGCUGAGCCAUAUAUAUAGCCAGCCUCCCAGUGUGCACUCCUCAAACUCUUGUCCUCUCUCCCAGAGCCUGCCCAGGACUGCGUUUGCCAGGACCACCAGCCACUCCUGAUUCUGGCUCAGAUGAGGACCUGCUACCCUGCUAAGAUGGCUUUCCAGGUAAACAUGGCUGAGAUGUGCUUCCUUCACUGCAGGUUUUGAUUCUGUUCCUUUAGAUGUCUUUUACCUCUACAGUGGACCCUUGACUUACAAACUCAAUUCAUUCACAAGUGCUGGUUGUAACUUAAAUUGGUCAAUUGAAGGCUCAGGCUCCUCUACACAGCCUUCAAAGUCUCCUGCAUUCAGGCAGAUCUCAGUGUCCUUAGAGAGACAUUGACCCAGGAUUUCUCAACCUCACACAGGAAAGGAUGUUGUAAUGUUCCUUCCAGAACUCUUCAAGGGUUAAAUCUGUAUCUGAGACCAUCUGAAGCACAAGCAGCCAGCAUUUGGUCAUAAGUCAAGACUUUGGUGGUAAGUUACAACUAAAAUUCCAGUCAUAACCCAAGUUCUUCGUAUGUCAGGCCAGUCAUAACUCAAAAGUCAAGUGUACUUUAACGUCAAUUCUGAGGGCCUCUAGGGCUCUGACCUUGGCUCUUCACUCCAAACCUAUAGGACAUUAUUUCUCACGUGGUUUACAUAUUCUGAGCCAAACUCUUUCUCUAGUCAGUCCUUGGCACCCUACAGAGAUGCCUCUCCUUUUCUGUCACUCACUAAGCACACAGCUUUUGUUUGGAGACCCACAGUAGUAAUGGAUUGGGUCCCAGGAGAACCAUAGUGUACAGUUGUUCAGUCUACACAUUGCACAAAGACAUUUGAGGAAGGAGGCUGUGCUGUGGAUACCUGGAGAAAGGCACACUGUUUUUUUAUAUGAGAAAUAUUCAUGUAAACACAUAUAAUUAAGUUAGAUAACCAGCUGAACUAGAAUAAUGUGUUUCAUUAUCAUGUCACUAUGUGAAAGUGAAAAUUCUUAGCAUCUGAAAAUAUUUGGUGGAAAACAGUUCCUUUUCAUUUGUAAUGAAUCAACUUUAGUUUUUAGAGCUGUUUAAGAUUUACAAAACAACUGAGCAGAAAUCAGAGUUCUAUAUAACCUUGCCUACCCCACUUCCACCCCACUCUCAGAGUUCGAUGCUAUUUACACAUUGCAUUAGUGUGAUGCUUUUGCUGCAACUGAUGAGUAAAUAUUGAUAGUUUACAAGAACUAAAGUCCAUAGUGCACUCCAGGGUUCUCUCUGGGUUAUACAUUCUAUGAAUUUUGACAAAUGUAUGAUGACAUGUAUGUACCAUACAGAAAGAGUUCUCUUGCCCUAAAAAAUACCCUGUGUUGCACCUAAUCAAAACUUCCUCUAUCCUUCCCCUUCCACAGGCCCUGGCAACAACUAAUCUUAUUACUUUCUCCUUUGCUUUGAGAAAGGUAUACUUUUUGUCUGCAGAAGGGAAUAUCCACCAGCCAAAAUCACAGAUACUUCUGCCAGAAGGGCACCACUUUUAAAACUGAACAAAGAUCUUACAGCAGCUAGCUAAUGCCUUGAGUCCAAGAUCUAGUCCAAUCACGAUCAUAAGGUCUUCCCCUGAAACAUUUCAAUAUAUCCCAUCUCCCUGUUUCCCUUUAUCUAGUCCAUUUUUUUCUUGGUAAACAUUUCCACCCAAUUCUGUUUGGGCCACUAUAACAAAAAUUCUAUUGACCAGGUGGAUUAAACUAUGAACAUUUAUUUCUCACAGUUCUAGAGGUUGGAAAGUCCAAGGUCAAGGUACCAGGUCGACUCAGGAUCAGAUAAAGGCUACUUCCUGGUUCCUAGACUGUCUUAUCCCUGUGUCAGCUCAUGGGAAAAUGGAGAGAGCUCUAUGGGGCAUUGCUCAUGAGGGUACUAAUCCCAUUCAUGAAGGUACCCCUCCUGCCUCAAUCACAUCCAAAGGCCCUACCUCCUAACACUAUCACCUAGAAGGUUAGGAUCUCGGCAUAUGAUCUGAGAAGACCCAAACAUCUAAUCCACAGCAAUCACCUUAUGCCCCCCUCCCAUCUAUCAACCCAACCAUCUCCUCUUUCCGUGCUGCUGCUGCUAUCGCUGUCCAAAAGAACUUUCUGCAAUGUCACAAAUGUUCCACAUCUGUGCAGUCCCCUGCAGCAGCCACUGGCUGAAAGUGGCUCAUAGUACAGAGGAACUGAAUUUUUAAAUCCUAUUUCACUUUAGUAAUUUAAAUUUAAAUGCCCCCAUGUGGCAAAAUGACUAUCAUAUUGGACAACACAAGUUUAAGGUUUUACCCCUGCUAUUUUUCCCAUUGCGGUAGAAUUCAUAAGCUCCUCCUACCUUCAAGCUUGACAUUCUCCCUUCUCUGUGAGUCUUCUCUGACUAUGCAGAAUGAGAUGAUUCCUCCUGACCCUUCUGGAACAACUGGCUCUCAAGUUACUCAUAUUUUAUUAUCAUCAAAUAUGCACAUGUGUAGUUCUUUCUUAUAUGUUAACAUGUCUUGUAAAAUUUCUUUAAUUUAUGAAACUAUUUUAGUGUUGCUUGUCUGUACCUUUUUAGCUUUCCUUCUAUUGAAAACUGCGCAAAACUCUUCAAACUCUGUGCCCUGAGGAAACAGAGCAAAGUUUUGUAACUAAUGCUUCAUCUGGUGAUAAUUGAAAGUGAUGGCUGGGGGGCUAAUUCAUGCCAUUUGAGAUGCCAGGGCACCAUAUCCAAGGUAUAAAAAAUGGGAGAAGAAACAAUAACAUCAAAAGAAAUUGAAAGUUUACAUCUAAGAUUCAGCAAGGAAUAGAGGAGGAGUACUGAUCAGAAAGAACUGCAUAGCUGUGUGGCCAAGAGUUUGGCUUCCCAGAGGACAGACUCUGGCCUACCAGGCUAGAACUUUCUGUGAGACCUUGUGCUAAUGGUUUAACUUACAGAACCUCAGUCUACUCACCUGUAGCUGGGUGCCCGCCUACAUGUUAGCAUUGUCAGCAUUAAGUUGACCAAUGAGGAUUUUGCCAGCAGAAGAAUGGCUUCUCUAGUCGCCUUAAUUUUUGUUUUGACAAAACUUUGCUAUCGUUCAAAAUGGGCCUCGAGACCUGUAUAAAUGGAUGCGGUCAGAAACAGAUUCCCAAUUCUAAGUGGCCAAUGAAAAGGAAUAAAAGGUAAGGCCUAGCUCUAGGCCAGACCUUUGGAAACCUUACCCCUAACUCGGAUAUGUCCUAACUGGACUGUCCUUCGAUGGAUUUGAUAGUAUUUAUGUACCUGACUGAGACAAAACUACUAAAAUUGGAAGAUGGGAGAGAUUUGUGGGUUAAGAAAUUUGAGCUUUAAGCGUCUUCAGCCAAAGUUACUUAAUUUCUUUAAAUCUGAGUUUGAAUCUGAUCAUUCUCGCUAAUUCAUCCCUGCCCACAUAGUCAUCCACACCACUAUCUGUAGAUGCCCUUGCAUUGUAUUUAGGAUAAUGUCCCAACCACAGCCCUCCGGAUCUGCCAGCUGCCUGUCUCACUAGUCUUAUCUCUCACACGUUCUCUUAGCUCCAAAAAUAGUGGCCUCAUUUUCAGUCUGUCAGAAUUGCUACUUGACAUAUUUUUGUUCCUGGGUUGUCCAACAGCAUCUUUUUUUUUUUUUUUUUUUUGGUAUCGAUGAUCAAACUUGGGACCUUGUCCUUGUGAGGCAAGCAGCAGAACCACUGAGUUAAAUCCCUGGCCCCUCCAACAGCAACUUAAUCAUCUGUCUGCAAUGAUUUUCACUCCUAACAUCAGUACCACCACCCCCUUUGCCUUCAUAAACCUUAAUAACAAGGCUUACCUUAGUUGCCUUCUUUUUUCGUACCCAUUGCUUCACAAUGCCUCUUCCCUCAGCAGACUCUGAGAUGUCACCAUCUGUGCAGAGCUUAGUGCUCAAGUGAAGUGGGGAUAUGAGAUUUAUCUUUUUCACAGCUACAUCCCAGAAUCUAGCCCCUGGCUCCUCCUAAAACACACUAAUGGUUGAGUGAAACCCUCCCUAUCUACCUCUGUAGACUGAUAAAAAAUGGAGAUGAUGUCUGUACAGUGCUUAACAUAAUUCUUGGCCAUGGCAAAUGUCUUAGUGUUGGCUGUUGUUAAUGAUGCAAAUAUUUAAGUGAUAAAUUUGUUUCAUUUCUAAAUUCUUUGGUGGGCACAUCUCUAAAUGGGAGAGUAAAAAGAAGAUAAAUAAUCUGGUAUUUGGUACCCAUUCUUCUCAAUACCAUUAAAGUUUUAAAGCAGAAUGAGAUGAAAUAAUGUCCCAAGCCUACAAUUGAAGCCAGGACUUUGAUCUGUUGGAUCCAGUAUAAUUGUAUGUUUCCAGAACCCUGGAGUCUGGCUGUGUACCAGGUGCAGGCAUCCAUAACCCAAUCCAUCAAUCAGAUGUCACAAAUUUAGAAGACUUUUUUCUCUUUAAAUAGAAAUAUGAGCUAUGCCUAUGGGAAUCUACAUGUUAGCACUUGGAAAAUGACUACAGUGAAUAUCACAUAAAAACACAAUUUACAAAAGAUAAUUAUGGAGUCCACAUGAAACUCUUACAUAUGAAUCUUCUCCCUGAAUAAUCAAAGAUAAGUACCUUACUUACAGCUGUAAUCUAAAAUAGGAUUUUCAUAGUAGAAACUAGGUUACACCAACAUUGGUGCAUUAUACUGUUUUAAAUAAAUGUAUAAUUUAUUUUCAACUUAUCAGGUCUCUUACAUUAUAAACUUUACUGGAAAUCUAACACAGGCAGGAUAGUAAUGAUUCUUAGUGUUGGAAGAACUUUCAUAUGUUAGAAGAAAGAAGGUGGUAGGCCAUGUGUCAGGGUGAUAUUUUAAAUUCUAUUUUUAAAGGCUGGCCCAAAACUGUGUGAGAAGGGAGCAAUGGGGGACAUUUGAGAAAGGGAAUGAAAACUGGAAUACUUUCUACAAAACUGGAAUACAUUCUCCAAAGUAUUAUUCCUUUACUCUUAGUAUCCCAAGACUCUGGCUUCUUCUACCAGUAGAUUUGGUGUAUCAGUGAGGGAUGCAUUUGGCUACAAGUAACAGAAAACUCCAAAAGCAAUGUCUUCAACAAAUAGGAGAUUGUUUUUUACAUAUUACAGAACACCGUAGUUAGAUGGGUGCUGGCAUUGUUCACAGAUCAUGAUGCCACGGCAGAUCCUGGUUCUUCUAUCUUUCUCAUGGGCCCUCAAGAGUGCCUUUUAGUCCAAGAUGUUGGCUUCUAGUUAGGGCAUCACUUCUGCUUUCAAAGCUCAAGGAAAGAGAGGAAUCCAUCUCCUUUUAACAGAAAAUCAAAAGCUUGUACCAGUACCCUCAGGUAAAUAUCUACUUAUUUCACAGGGAAUAACUAGCAGUGAUAAGCACUUGAGUUAGUGCUUUUAUAUUAUCCUAGUUGCAGAUGAGAAGCAGG
Molecule: long non-coding RNA, 5458 nt
Filed under: Heterocephalus glaber (naked mole-rat)
Lineage: Eukaryota; Metazoa; Chordata; Mammalia; Rodentia; Bathyergidae
Description: lncRNA (ENSHGLG00100043952.1)
Source: RNAcentral